Molecule: long non-coding RNA, 1023 nt
Organism: Gasterosteus aculeatus aculeatus (three-spined stickleback)
Lineage: Eukaryota; Metazoa; Chordata; Actinopteri; Perciformes; Gasterosteidae
Source: Ensembl
UGUGUGAGCAUGUGUGUGUGUGUGUGUGUGUGUGUGUGUGUGUGUGAAGGUGCUCUAGUGCUAAGCAGAGAACAGUAAGGUGUGUAAGCCGAUCUAAACUGUGGGCAAUCCAGAGAGAGAAGGACUAAAUAUCGACAGCAGCAGCGUAGCUUUCACUGCUGCCAUCCCCCCGUGCGUGUGCGUGUGUGUGUGUGUGUGUGUGUGUGUGUGUGUGCGCGCGUGUGGUUUUGUGUGGUAAAAGAGCAGCUAUAAAAAGACUAGAGUUACUGAACCCAAGGUGGGAUGAAAAGAAGGAGAAAGAACAACAAUAGCUGAUAUAUACUUACACACACACACACUGCAGGGUGCCCUUUGACCCCGUCAGCUGCCGCCGAGCUUGCUUUGGGCUACGUGCCGCGCGACAGGUGAGCAGGCUAACGGACGGCCGCCCGGGAUAGCUGGCACGCCUCGCAUUUCGCACACACGCUCACACACACCGACAAAGGGGGUUAAAAGCAUUCAUACGUACAUACAUACACACAGGCAUAAGGUCAGGGCCGGGCCGGGGCCAAAGCACACACACACGCACACGCACGCACACACACGCACACACCAGUCCUUGCAUUCCUGCAUAUGUCAGUCGUAUAAUUAAAAGGCUCGCACCUCUUUUGUCACUCUCACUGUGACACACUCACUGAUCCCCGUGCAAGUCGGCUGUGUGGAAAACAUUUAAAUACUUAUAAUUUAUAUCAGGCUCUUUAUCUUUAGAUGAUUGACUUGACUGUCUUUCCUAACGGACUUCGUUCAAACACAUACAGCGGGCUCAGCUGCAUUAGCUAUUAGCUCUGUUUACUGUAUUAGCCCCUUGUUAGCUCUGUACCAUGUAUUAGACUGUGUUAGCCGUUAGCUUUGUUCACUGUAUAAACUCCUGUUAGCUAUUAGCUCUGUGCCAUUUAUUAGACUGUGUUAGCCGUUAGCUUUGUUCGCUGUAUUAUCUCCUGUUAGCUGUUAGCUCUGUGCCAUUUAUUAGACUGUGUAAGCCGU